This 912-nucleotide ribosomal RNA is filed under the name uncultured bacterium. RNAcentral describes it as "bacterial SSU rRNA". It matches the Rfam family "Bacterial small subunit ribosomal RNA", at positions 8 to 916 of the family's 1533-position model. The record is from RNAcentral.
AGAGUUUGAUCAUGGCUCAGAACGAACGCUGGCGGCGUGCUUAAUACAUGCAAGUCGAACGUGAAUCCCGACUUCGGUUGGGAUGAAAGUGGCGAACGGGUGAGUAACACGUAAGUAAUCUGCCUUCAAGUUUGGGAUAACCCUGCCAACGCGGGGCUAAUACCGGAUGUGGUCCAGCUGACACAUGUUGGCUGGAUUAAAGGUCGCGAGGCCGCUUGGAGAUGAGCUUGCGGCCCAUUAGUUAGUUGGUGAGGUAACGGCCCACCAAGACGAAGAUGGGUAGCCGGCCUGAGAGGGUGUACGGCCACAUUGGGACUGAGAUACGGCCCAGACUCCUACGGGAGGCAGCAGUAGGGAAUUUUGCGCAAUGGACGGAAGUCUGACGCAGCAACGCCGCGUGAAGGAUGACGGCCUUCGGGUUGUAAACUUCUGUUGGAUGGGAAAAAAAGCCUAGGAAUAGGAAUUGAUGGUACCAUUCGAGUAAGCACCGGCUAACUACGUGCCAGCAGCCGCGGUAAUACGUAGGGUGCGAGCGUUGUUCGGAAUCACUGGGCGUAAAGGGAGCGUAGGCGGGAUCGUAAGUUAGGAGUUUAAUACAUGGGCUCAACCCGUGAUAUGCUUUUAAUACUGCGGUUCUUGAGUAUGGGAGAGGGUGAUGGAAUUCCAGGUGUAGCGGUGGAAUGCGUAGAUAUCUGGAAGAACACCAGUAGCGAAGGCGGUCACCUGGCCCAAUACUGACGCUGAGGCUCGAAAGCUGGGGGAGCAAACAGGAUUAGAUACCCUGGUAGUCCCAGCCGUAAACGAUGGACACUAGUUGCCGGGAGAGUCAAUCCUUUCGGUGACGAAGCUAACGCAUUAAGUGUCCCGCCCGGGAAGUACGCCCGCAAGGGUGAAACUCAAAUGAAUUGACGG